This 253-nucleotide ribosomal RNA is filed under the name uncultured bacterium. RNAcentral describes it as "partial 16S ribosomal RNA". It matches the Rfam family "Bacterial small subunit ribosomal RNA", at positions 524 to 776 of the family's 1533-position model. The record is from RNAcentral.
UACGGAAGGUGCAAGCGUUGCUCGGAAUCACUGGGCGUAAAGGGUGCGUAGGCGGCUUGGUAAGUUGGGUGUGAAAGCCCCGGGCUCAGCCCGGGAAGGGCACUCGAAACUGCCGAGCUGGAGUGCCGGAGGGGAGAGUGGAAUUCCUGGUGUAGCGGUGAAAUGCGUAGAUAUCAGGAGGAAUACCGGUGGCGAAAGCGACUCUCUGGACCAGCACUGACACUGAGGCACGAAAGCGUGGGGAGCAAACAGG